Molecule: ribosomal RNA, 757 nt
Filed under: uncultured archaeon
Lineage: Archaea
Description: bacterial SSU rRNA
Rfam family: Archaeal small subunit ribosomal RNA
Source: RNAcentral
UAGCAAUACGUGGCAUACGGCUCAGUAACACGUAGUCAACAUGCCCAGGGGACGUGGAUAACCUCGGGAAACUGAGGAUAAACCACGAUAGGUCAUAAUAUCUGGAAUGAUUUAUGGCUAAAAUCUACAUGGCCCCUGGAUUGGACUGCGGCCGAUCAGGCUGUUGGUGAGGUAAUGGCCCACCAAACCUAAAACCGGUACGGGCUCUGAGAGGAGAAGCCCGGAGAUGGGCACUGAGACAAGGGCCCAGGCCCUAUGGGGCGCAGCAGGCGCGAAAACUCUGCAAUAAGCGAAAGCUUGACAGGGUUAUUCUGAGUGAUUUCCGCUAAGGAAAUCUUUUGGCACCUCUAAAAAUGGUGCAGAAUAAGGGGUGGGCAAGCCUGGUGUCAGCCGCCGCGGUAAUACCAGCACCCCGAGUGGUCGGGACGAUUAUUGGGCCUAAAGCAUCCGUAGCCGGUUCUACAAGUCUUCCGUUAAAUCCAUCUGCUUAACAGAUGGGCUGCGGAGGAUACUAUGGAGCUAGGAGGCGGGAGAGGCAAGCGGUACUUAGUGGGUAGGGGUAAAAUCCGUUGAUCCACUGAAGACCACCAGUGGCGAAGGCGGCUUGCCAGAACGCGCUCGACGGUGAGGGAUGAAAGCUGGGGGAGCAAACCGGAUUAGAUACCCGGGUAGUCCCAGCUGUAAACGAUGCAGACUCGGUGAUGAAUAGGCUUCGUGCCUUUUCAGUGCCGCAGGGAAGCCGUUAAGUCUGCCGCCU